GUCCACACUGUAAACUAUGAUCACUCGCUGUGUGCGAUAUACAGUACGCGGCUAAGCGAAAGCGUUAAGUGAUCCACCUGGGGAGUACGCCGGCAACGGUGAAACUCAAAGGAAUUGACGGGGGCCCCGCACAAGCGGAGGAGCAUGUGGUUUAAUUCGAUGGUACGCGAGGAACCUUACCAGGGCUUGAAAGUUAGUGACCGUCCCGGAAACGGGAUUUUCAGCAAUGACACGAAACUAGGUGCUGCAUGGCUGUCGU
RNAcentral lists this ribosomal RNA (259 nucleotides) under uncultured bacterium. RNAcentral describes it as "partial 16S ribosomal RNA". It matches the Rfam family "Bacterial small subunit ribosomal RNA", at positions 793 to 1055 of the family's 1533-position model. The record is from RNAcentral.